UACGGAGGAUCCAAGCGUUAUCCGGAAUUAUUGGGCGUAAAGCGCGCGCAGGCGGUCCUUUAAGUCUGAUGUGAAAGCCCACGGCUCAACCGUGGAGGGUCAUUGGAAACUGGAGGACUUGAGUACAGAAGAGGAAAGUGGAAUUCCACGUGUAGCGGUGAAAUGCGUAGAGAUGUGGAGGAACACCAGUGGCGAAGGCGACUUUCUGGUCUGUAACUGACGCUGAGGCGCGAAAGCGUGGGGAGCAAACAGG
This 253-nucleotide unclassified non-coding RNA is filed under the name uncultured Caryophanales bacterium. RNAcentral describes it as "uncultured Bacillales bacterium contains 16S-23S intergenic spacer region". It matches the Rfam family "Bacterial small subunit ribosomal RNA", at positions 524 to 776 of the family's 1533-position model. The record is from RNAcentral. Lineage: Bacteria; Bacillati; Bacillota; Bacilli; Caryophanales.